Non-coding RNA from Candidatus Thiomargarita nelsonii, 93 nucleotides. The record is from Rfam. Lineage: Bacteria; Pseudomonadati; Pseudomonadota; Gammaproteobacteria; Thiotrichales; Thiotrichaceae.
GAGAGCCUUAUGCGGUGAAAGCUGCACGUAGGGUUCGGUGGGAGGUUGUUGUGGUCUCGAACUGCUAGUCCGAGAUAUGGCAACCCACCCAAU